UGUGCUCAUGAUCAUCAAGUAGUUAUUUUCAUCUGGUAGUGGUUUUUAGCAUCUGAACAUCUUGGGAAAUACGCGUGUCGGGGUACUUCAGAGAGGAGCUGCAGCAGAGGCUAUAGGGGAGGGGUUUGUCCUGGGAAGGCCCCAUGCACAGACUGGAAUCUGUGCUGCUCACUUUCUGCAGUUGAGCGGUGGCUUUUGCAGGUCUGGGCACGGGUGCACUUCAGAUAUGUUUUAUUCCCUCUGUUCCCUGCCAUCAUCACAGACCCUCGAUGCAUCCUGUGGACAGGAAGCUCAAAGGUGCUCCGAGUAACUGUGUGAUCUGUCUCCCCACCGCCAUGGCAGCCAGGUGUGAAGAGAGGGGAUCUCAAUUAAAAAGUGAGAGCUUGAAGAAGCCAUCUGCCAUGUUGUCAGGAAGCCAUGGAGAGAGCCAGGUGGCAAAGAACUGUGAGCAGCCUGAAGGAGCUGAGAGUGGCCUCCAGCCAACAGCCAGUGGGAAGGCAGGAACCUCAGUGUUACUGCCACAAAGAAAGAAAUUCUGGUAACAAUGUAAAGGGAGACAGAUUUGUUACUGUUCAUGGCUCCAGAAGGCUAAGCCCUGGGUGACACUUUGGUAGCAUCUUUGCAGAGGACCCUCUUAAGGCAGCCCAGACUCCUGACCUGCAGAAGUAGAGAGAUAAUAAAUGUGUGUGGUU
This is a long non-coding RNA of Bubalus bubalis (water buffalo), 692 nucleotides long. RefSeq lists it as uncharacterized. The transcript is spliced from 2 exons. NCBI's taxonomy places the organism in Eukaryota, Metazoa, Chordata, Mammalia, Artiodactyla, Bovidae. The record is from RefSeq and is a predicted model, not a curated record.